UAUUUCUGAUGUUAAAGAUAAGUUCCCAAUUGAAAGGAAACAAUAGCAAAAGUAACCAGACACUGUAAAGUGGAACUGGAUCAAAAAGAACAAUGACUGCAAUGUAUUUUUUUCUGUGAUGAUGUAUCUGAAGAUCUCCAUGAUACAUCGACAUUUUUAAAUCGACAAAAAUAGGGCAUGACUGUGCACUUGUACUACAAGACAUAUUCCCUUAGCCAAAGUAAGAGCUGGAGAUGUCAUAUCACUAGUAUCAUGUUUGAUGAUUGAUGAAACUUGACAACAUAGCAAAUAGGCAGAAUAAAAGACACAGAAAGAAAGCCAGGAAUCUUUUAUCCUUGGGGUUGUGCUUUCCUAAAUUAUAAAAAUUCAUUGAUGGCACACGGUCUGGAAGAGAUAUUGUACCAAUCUCCAAGCUUGCAGAUCACGCUAAAUUGUACAGUAAACGCCUUGAACAUCUUGGAGUUAUCAUGGAAGGAAGAACUGAUGCAACGCAGUUAACAAAAUUGGAAUGUUGCUGCCAUAGGAUAUAUAUAGGCAUACAAGCAAGAUAAAUUAGUGCUCUUGAUUUUAAACAAAUGUAAUCGUGAAGCUCUGAAACAGAC
This 602-nucleotide long non-coding RNA is filed under the name Mytilus galloprovincialis (Mediterranean mussel). The record is from RNAcentral. Lineage: Eukaryota; Metazoa; Mollusca; Bivalvia; Mytilida; Mytilidae.